Molecule: ribosomal RNA, 492 nt
Filed under: uncultured bacterium
Lineage: Bacteria
Description: partial 16S ribosomal RNA
Rfam family: Bacterial small subunit ribosomal RNA
Source: RNAcentral
AGUGAACGCUGGCGGUAGGCCUAACACAUGCAAGUCGAACGGCAGCACAGUAAGAGCUUGCUCUUACGGGUGGCGAGUGGCGGACGGGUGAGGAAUACAUCGGAAUCUACUUUUUCGUGGGGGAUAACGUAGGGAAACUUACGCUAAUACCGCAUACGACCUACGGGUGAAAGCAGGGGAUCUUCGGACCUUGCGCGAUUGAAUGAGCCGAUGUCGGAUUUGCUAGUUGGCGGGGUAAAGGCCCACCAAGGCGACGAUCCGUAGCUGGUCUGAGAGGAUGAUCAGCCACACUGGAACUGAGACACGGUCAAGACUCCUACGGGAGGCAGCAGUGGGGAAUAUUGGACAAUGGGCGCAAGCCUGAUCCAGCCAUACCGCGUGGGUGAAGAAGGCCUUCGGGUUGUAAAGCCCUUUUGUUGGGAAAGAAAAGCAGCAGGUUAAUACCCCGCUGUUCUGACGGUACCCAAAGAAUAAGCACCGGCUAACUUCGUG